Long non-coding RNA from Odocoileus virginianus texanus, 411 nucleotides. RefSeq lists it as uncharacterized. NCBI's taxonomy places the organism in Eukaryota, Metazoa, Chordata, Mammalia, Artiodactyla, Cervidae. The record is from RefSeq and is a predicted model, not a curated record.
CUCCAGGAGGCACUGAGGGAAAGGGAGACGGGCAGAAGGCCAAGCCUGAGCUUUAACGGGGAGAUAGACACAGCAUCCGAGGUGAGAUUUUUGCUCAAGACACUCACCAGGACGUAGAUUUCUCCAGGGGUCACACUGCUAUCCACUGUUCUCUACCAGGAAAGGGCUGAGUGGAACAUUCUUCCCUGCUGACCUGAACUGCAGCACCUCCAGUGGGUCUUCCUGCCUCUCUGCUCCUGGCCCCUUCUGACCUCCCUCCACAGGACGCCAGGUUCAUGUAUCCAACGACCAUAGUGAAGAUACAGGAGAUUUCCAUCCACACAAGGAUUCCUCAUGUUGCCCUUUUGUAACCAAUCCACCUCCCCCAACUCUCCCUCUGUAGCACAGCCCCUGGAAACCACUAAACCACUA